This 443-nucleotide ribosomal RNA is filed under the name uncultured bacterium. Its description in RNAcentral is "partial 16S ribosomal RNA". It matches the Rfam family "Bacterial small subunit ribosomal RNA", at positions 338 to 795 of the family's 1533-position model. The record is from RNAcentral.
CCUACGGGAGGCAGCAGUGGGGAAUAUUGGGCAAUGGAGGAAACUCUGACCCAGCAACGCCGCGUGAAUGAUGAAGGUCUUCGGAUUGUAACGUUCUUUUCUAAGGGAAGAAGUAAGUGACGGUACCUUAGGAAUAAGCCUCGGCUAACUACGUGACAGCAGCCGCGGUAAUACGUAGGAGGCAAGCGUUAUCCGGAAUGACUGGGCGUAAAGGGUGCGUAGGUGGUUUGACAAGUUGGUAGCGUAACUCCGGGGCUCAACCUCGGCACUACUACCAAAACUGUUGGACUUGAGUGCAGGGGGGGCGAAUGGAAUUCCUAGUGUAGGGGUGGAAUGCGUAGAUAUUAGGAGGAACACCAGUGGCGAAGGCGAUUUGCUGGACUGUAACUGACACGGAGGCACGAAAGCGUGGGGAGCAAACAGGAUUAGAUACCCGAGUAGUC